UUUGCAAAUCGCUCGCGUGACCUGUGUCUAGGGGUGAAAGUCCAAUCGAACUCGGAAACAGCUGGUUCCUUCCGAGACAUGUCGUAGCAUGACCUCGACGGAGACCGUCGGCGGAGUAGAGCACUGAUUGAGGGAGCUGGAGGAGAAAUCCUUCACCCCUUUGUCAAACUCCAAAACCGCCGUCGUCGUAGAUGUCGGGAGUCCGGGCUGGGGGGUAAGCUUCUAGUCCGAGAGGGAAACAACCCAGACCGUGGUUAAGGCCCUUAAAUGUCGGCUAAGUGUAAUUAAAAGGGUGUCCCAGGCCCUAGACAGCUGGGAGGUGAGCUUAGAAGCAGCUAACCUUUAAAAAGUGCGUAACAGCUUACCAGUCGAGGUUUGGGGCCCCGAAAAUGGACGGGGCUCAAGCCGACUGCCGAUACCACGGAGCACGGCAACGUGAUCUGGUAGGAAGGCGUCCUGCGUGGGCAGAAGUAGGGCUGUAAAGUCCUGUGGACCGCGCAGGAACGAAGAUCCUGGCAAUAGUAGCAGCAUAGUCGGGUGAGAAUCCCGACCGCCGAAAGGGCUAGGUUUCCUCGACAAUGUUCGUCAGUCGAGGGUUAGUCGGUCCUAAGAUACACCGUAAUUCGAGUGUGUCAAAAGGGAAACAGGUUAAUAUUCCUGUACCACGCGACAUUAAAACCUGACGCCUCAGGGUAGUCCGCACAGUGAUGCCAAACUGUCCAAGCGUAUUAAGUCCGCGGAGAACCGUAAUGGUGAGAAACGGACCAAAGCGUGAUGGGGAAACUCGGAUAAUCCCAGGGGCCCGUGAAAAAGGGAGUCGAUGGCCGUACCAAGAUCUGACACAGGUGCCCCUAGUUGAGAAGACUAAGGCGUGUCGGCAUAACCCACCCAAGGGAAAUCGGCAAAUUAGCCCCGUAACUUCGGGAGAAGGGGUGCCUGCUCUGAGAAGAGCAGGUCGCAGUGACUAGGGGGCUCUAACUGUCUAAUAACAACACAGGUGAUUGCUAACCCGAAAGGGCAAGUACAAUCACUGAAUCCUGCCCAGUGCAGGUACCUGAACAUCCGGUUCAACGGGAAGAAGGGCCUGUCAACGGCGGGGGUAACUAUGACCCUCUUAAGGUAGCGUAGUACCUUGCCGCUUAAUUGGCGGCUUGCAUGAAUGGACCAAUGAGAGCCCUACUGUCCCUGGGUGGAACCCGGUGAACUUUACAUUCCAGUGCAGAGUCUGGAGACCCCUGAUGGGAAGUGAAGACCCCGUGGAGCUUUACUGCAGCCUGUCGCUGGGAUUCGGUUGUGCAUGCGCAGCGUAGGUAGGAGGUGUCGAUCCACCACUUCUGGGUGGUGGGGAGCCUACCCUGAGACACUACCCUUGCACGGCUGUGUCCCUUACCGUGGGAACGGGACCCCGAUAGGUGGGCAGUUUGGCUGGGGCGGCACGCCCUUGAAAAGAUAUCAAGGGUGCCCAAAGGUUGACUCAAGUGGGUCAGAAACCCACUGAAGAGCGUAAGGGCAAAAGUCAGCCUGAUGUGAUUCAGCACAGUAGUGGAUCACAAGACGAAAGUCGGGCCUAACGAACCUUUAUGCCCUAUUGGUGAGGGCUAAAGAUGACAGAAAAGCUACCCCGGGGAUAACAGAGUCGUCACCGGCAAGAGCACAUAUCGACCCGGUGGCUUGCUACCUCGAUGUCGGUUCUUUCCAUCCUGGCCGUGCAGCAGCGGCCAAGGGUGAGGUUGUUCGCCUAUUAAAGGAGAUCGUGAGCUGGGUUUAGACCGUCGUGAGACAGGUCGGUUACUAUCUGUCAGGGGUGUUUUGCGGUCUGAGGGCAGGUUGGCUUUAGUACGAGAGGAACAAGCCAACGGCGCCACUGGUCUAUCGGCUGUCUGGCAAGGCAAAGCCGAGCAGCUACGCGCUAACGGAUAAGGGCUGAAAGCAUCUAAGCCCGAAACUGUACCCGAAAAGAGACCGUGUUGGGGGCUCUCGUAAAAGACGAGAUUGAUAGAGCCGGGAUGUACGCACCAAGGCAACGAGGUGUUCAGUUCGCGGCUACUAACAGCCCUCGCAGAAAAGCACC
Molecule: ribosomal RNA, 2071 nt
Filed under: Bacteroidota bacterium
Lineage: Bacteria; Pseudomonadati; Bacteroidota
Description: partial 23S ribosomal RNA
Rfam family: Archaeal large subunit ribosomal RNA
Source: RNAcentral